GAAAUGCGAUAAGUAGUGUGAAUUGCAGAAUUCAGUGAAUCAUCGAAUCUUUGAACGCACAUUGCGCCCCUCGGUAUUCCGUGGGGCAUGCCUGUUCGAGCGUCAUUACAACCCUCAGGCCCCCGGGCCUGGCGUUGGGGAUCGGCGGAAGCCCCCUGCGGGCACAACGCCGUCCCCCAAAUACAGUGGCGGUCCUGCCGCAGCUUCCAUUGCGUAGUAGCUAACACCUCGCAACUGGAGAGCGGCGCGGCCACGCCGUAAAACACCCAACUUCUGAAUGUUGACCUCGAAUCAGGUAGGAAUACCCGCUGAACUUAAGC
Molecule: unclassified non-coding RNA, 320 nt
Filed under: plant metagenome
Description: partial contains 5.8S ribosomal RNA, internal transcribed spacer 2, and large subunit ribosomal RNA
Rfam family: 5.8S ribosomal RNA (bases 1-105)
Source: RNAcentral